Molecule: unclassified non-coding RNA, 309 nt
Filed under: plant metagenome
Description: partial contains 5.8S ribosomal RNA, internal transcribed spacer 2, and large subunit ribosomal RNA
Rfam family: 5.8S ribosomal RNA (bases 1-105)
Source: RNAcentral
GAAAUGCGAUAAGUAGUGUGAAUUGCAGAAUUCAGUGAAUCAUCGAAUCUUUGAACGCACAUUGCGCCCCUUGGUAUUCCAUGGGGCAUGCCUGUUCGAGCGUCAUUUGUACCCUCAAGCUCUGCUUGGUGUUGGGUGUUUGUCCCGUCUCCGCGUGUGGACUCGCCCCAAAGUGAUUGGCAGCCGGCGUACUGGUCCCGGAGCGCAGCACAUGUCGCGCAAACGAGUGCCUUGGUACGGCGGCGUCCAUAAGCCCCUCUCUCACGCUCUUGACCUCGGAUCAGGUAGGGAUACCCGCUGAACUUAAGC